This 253-nucleotide ribosomal RNA is filed under the name uncultured bacterium. RNAcentral describes it as "partial 16S ribosomal RNA". It matches the Rfam family "Bacterial small subunit ribosomal RNA", at positions 524 to 776 of the family's 1533-position model. The record is from RNAcentral.
UACGGAGGGAGCUAGCGUUGUUCGGAAUUACUGGGCGUAAAGCGCGCGUAGGCGGCUUUGUAAGUUAGAGGUGAAAGCCCGGAGCUCAACUCCGGAACUGCCUUUAAAACUGCAUCGCUUGAAUCCAGGAGAGGUGAGUGGAAUUCCGAGUGUAGAGGUGAAAUUCGUAGAUAUUCGGAAGAACACCAGUGGCGAAGGCGGCUCACUGGACUGGUGUUGACGCUGAGGUGCGAAAGCGUGGGGAGCAAACAGG